Molecule: ribosomal RNA, 253 nt
Filed under: uncultured bacterium
Lineage: Bacteria
Description: partial 16S ribosomal RNA
Rfam family: Bacterial small subunit ribosomal RNA
Source: RNAcentral
UACGUAGGGUGCAGGCGUUAAUCGGAAUUACUGGGCGUAAAGCGUGCGCAGGCGGUUUCUUAAGUCAGAUGUGAAAGCCCCGGGCUUAACCUGGGAACUGCGUUUGAAACUGGGAGACUAGAGUGUGGCAGAGGGGGGUGGAAUUCCACGUGUAGCAGUGAAAUGCGUAGAUAUGUGGAGGAACACCGAUGGCGAAGGCAGUCCCCUGGGCCUGUACUGACGCUCAUGCACGAAAGCGUGGGGAGCAAACAGG